GGUGUUUGUUUCUGGCCGGCAGAAAUACACUGACACUUCGUUUGUUUGCUAGUGGUUCGCAGGUGGAUCUCUUCGGAUCUCCUCAGGAGAUAGUUUUACGAAACUUACGGCUCAUAUGCGAGGGAUUUGUAUAUGCCAUUUUGGAUUCCUUACAAGGGAGGGCCAUCUUGAAGUUUGCUCCUGCUUCGCUUCAGAUGACCGCAACUGUACAUAAGAAAUAUUAUCUAUAUAUCUCCUUACCUAUUAGCGUAGGUUUGAUGAUUUUCAAUCUGCUUUUGUAUUAUGGCAAUGUCCCUAGUAUCUGUAAAUGAACUUUUUUGUUUAUUUGUAAGCGGCACUCCACAGGAUGAUACAAAAGGAAAUGGCGAGUUUUGCAAAAAGGAUAGUGUUCAACUGAACAUAUGGCUAGAGACUUUAGUAAAUUUUGUAUUCUGCAAUUAAUUAUUAUUAUUAUUUUUUUUAAAAUGUGAAACUACUACAUUUGACCAAACAUAAAAUUCUGAACGUAUUAUAAAAUGUAAUAUUCAUGUGAACAAAAUUUUCAGCAUCAUUACUCCAGAUUUCAGUGUCACAUGAUCAUUCAGAAUUCAUUCUAUGCUGAUUUGCUGUUUAAGAAACAUUUCUUAUUAUCGAUGUUGAAAACAGUUGUGAAACCAUUUUUCUGUGAAAACCAUGGUAUUUUCAGCAUUCUUUUAAUUGAACUUGCAAAAGAGUAGUAUUACAAGUUUUGUUUAUUUUUAAAUUUUAAGAGUUAAUCAAUCCAUCUAUUCUGUAUGAACCUUUUUUUUUUUUUUUUUUUUUUU
Puntigrus tetrazona (Sumatra barb) is the source of this 803-nucleotide long non-coding RNA. RefSeq lists it as uncharacterized. The record is from RefSeq and is a predicted model, not a curated record. The transcript has 3 exons. Lineage: Eukaryota; Metazoa; Chordata; Actinopteri; Cypriniformes; Cyprinidae.